RNAcentral lists this ribosomal RNA (367 nucleotides) under uncultured organism. RNAcentral's name for it is "bacterial SSU rRNA". It matches the Rfam family "Bacterial small subunit ribosomal RNA", at positions 526 to 896 of the family's 1533-position model. The record is from RNAcentral.
CGGAGGGUGCAAGCGUUAUCCGGAUUCACUGGGUUUAAAGGGUGCGUAGGUGGGUUGGUAAGUCAGUGGUGAAAUCCCCGAGCUUAACUUGGGAACUGCCAUUGAUACUAUUAAUCUUGAAUACCGUGGAGGUCGGCGGAAUAUGUCAUGUAGCGGUGAAAUGCUUAGAUAUGACAUAGAACACCAAUUGCGAAGGCAGCUGACUACGCGAGUAUUGACACUGAGGCACGAAAGCGUGGGGAUCAAACAGGAUUAGAUACCCUGGUAGUCCACGCCCUAAACUAUGGAUACUCGACAUACGCGAUACACUGUGUGUGUCUGAGCGAAAGCAUUAAGUAUCCCACCUGGGAAUACGAUCGCAAGAUUG